GACGAACGCUGGCGGCGUGCUUAACACAUGCAGGUCGAGCGGUAAGGCCCUUUCGGGGGUACACGAGCGGCGAACGGGUGAGUAACACGUGGGUGACCUGCCCUCAGCUCUGGGAUAAGCCUGGGAAACUGGGUCUAAUACUGGAUAUGACUCCACGGUGCAUGUCGUGGGGUGGAAAGCCUUGUGCGGCUGAGGAUGGGCCCGCGGCCUAUCAGCUUGUUGGUGGGGUGAGGCCUACCAAGGCGACGACGGGUAGCCGGCCUGAGAGGGCGACCGGCCACACUGGGACUGAGACACGGCCCAGACUCCUACGGGAGGCAGCAGUGGGGAAUCUUGCGCAAUGGGACGAAAGCCUGACGCAGCGACGCCGCGUGA
Molecule: ribosomal RNA, 375 nt
Filed under: uncultured bacterium
Lineage: Bacteria
Description: bacterial SSU rRNA
Rfam family: Bacterial small subunit ribosomal RNA
Source: RNAcentral